This 144-nucleotide transfer RNA is filed under the name Cordyceps militaris CM01. It matches the Rfam family "tRNA". From Rfam's summary of the family: Transfer RNA (tRNA) molecules are approximately 80 nucleotides in length. Lineage: Eukaryota; Fungi; Ascomycota; Sordariomycetes; Hypocreales; Cordycipitaceae. The record is from Rfam by way of RNAcentral.
ACCCGGUUAGCUCAAUUGGCUAGAGCGUUGGACUGCAAGUUCCCCGCUUCAUCCCGUCUUGUAGCAUCAAGCUAACCGUUUCCACAGUUUACGGAAUCAUCCUAAUCAAUCCAAAGGCUACGAGUUCGACCCUCGUACUGGGUG